CCCAACCACGAUGUGGGCGUCGACAGGU
This 28-nucleotide small RNA is filed under the name Bombyx mori (domestic silkworm). RNAcentral's name for it is "ovarian small RNA-13610". The record is from RNAcentral. Lineage: Eukaryota; Metazoa; Arthropoda; Insecta; Lepidoptera; Bombycidae.